This 1025-nucleotide long non-coding RNA is filed under the name Gossypium raimondii (Peruvian cotton). RNAcentral describes it as "long non-coding RNA (GRAI_LNC000256)". Lineage: Eukaryota; Viridiplantae; Streptophyta; Magnoliopsida; Malvales; Malvaceae. The record is from RNAcentral.
CUUCAGCCCAUUUUUUAAAAAAAAACCUCAAAACCUCUCAAAAGUUCUCUCUCCUCUCCCCAAAAACCGACCACUUUUCGGUUGCCGGCGCCGCCGUAUGCGGCGGUCGGCGAAGCCCAAAAGCACCCCUUUUAAACGCCCUUUCGUGAGGAGUCUCGUUCUGGAGUUAGAAACACCGGUACAUCAGCAAAUUGGGCCGAAAAGGGGUAAAAACCUUCCGGUUUUCUCUUUCGCCGUUGAUCUAAAACAGGCAAAUCUAACCCUUUUUUGCUUUUAUUUUCGUAAGAUUAUUAAAAAAGAAGUAAACAAAUAAACACAAGAAAAAAAAACCUUAGAAAUCUGAUUGCUUUUUAUUUCUCAUUCGUUUUUUGAAAAGAAAAAAAAACAAAUAAAAUCAAGCCCCCUUAAUUACAGUGAUGAAGUUCGCCCCCCCCCCCGGUCUAGUUUCUUUUACAAUGUUUGGCUUUAUAACCGAAAUAAAUGAAAAAAAAUUCAAUAUUUUGCUCCUAUUUUGUGUUGUCUACUUCUGCUUUUUCUUGUGUGUUUGCAGGUGACUGUGGCAGUGUCAGGCAAAGCAGGUGGCGGAGGGCAGAUGAUCGGACGUGACGUGCGGCGCACAUGGUCCUGGCAUGCGGCGUUGGAGGAGGGACUAGGGUUCUGAAACCCUAGUCUUUGUUGGGUUUGGGCCAUAAUGUUUGGGCCUGUUUUUGUAAAUGGACUAGGUUUUAGUUUGGGCUGAAUUGGGUAGUUGGGUUUGUUGGGCUUAUUGGGCCGGGGUAUAAAAUUGGGCUGUACAACUUGGAAAUAAAAAAAAUUAUAUAAACUUUGAAGUGAUGACGUGGUACAAUUUUAGAGAGUCACAAUCAGUGUUUUAAUAACCGAACAAGUGGUUGAACCGGUUAGAGCGUUGGUUCCCGAUUCAAUCGAUUUGAUCAGUUCAAUUGCUAGACCAAAAAUAACUAAAUAAAUAAUUAAAAAUCAUAAAAAUUUUAAAAAUAAAAAAUAUAUUAAAAUGAUUCAACCUG